Molecule: long non-coding RNA, 605 nt
Organism: Callorhinus ursinus (northern fur seal)
Lineage: Eukaryota; Metazoa; Chordata; Mammalia; Carnivora; Otariidae
Source: RefSeq, a predicted model, not a curated record
UCAUACAAGUCUCUUUCAGUGUUUUAUGUCAAAGUUAUUUCAGUAUAACCUAUUUGAAGAUAACCUUUACAGAUUAACAUUAGAUAUGCUUUCGGUGUCUGGUAAAUACAGAAACAAUCAGUAUUGGCUCUAAAUAUGUAGCAUUAAUUUAAACAUUUUUUAAAAAGCAUAUAUAAGGAGUGUCUUUUGUUUCAUGCACUUGCUGUGAUUGGCUGAUAAAUAUUUGUCAAAGAAAGAGAGAACUGAAAGCUCGCACGGUGUGGCUUGGAUAUCCUGAAAAGUGUGAAGAAAAGCAUCCCGGAAAUUCUAUAAAAAAUAAAAAAUACAAUGUAUUUACCUUUAUACCUGGGGUUUUAUAUGAACAAUUCAAGUUUUUCUUGAAUCUCUAUUUUCUGGUAGUAUCCUGCUCACAGUUUGUGCCAGCAUUGAAAAUAGGCUAUCUCUACACCUACUGGGCUCCUCUGGGAUUUGUUUUGGCUGUUACUAUCAUGAGGGAAGCAAUUGAUGAAUUCCGGCGUUUUCAGCGAGACAAGGAAGUGAAUUCACAGCUAUACAGCAAGCUUACAGUAAGAGGUUAGCAAGACCCUUUUGAUCUAGCUUAUCAU